Molecule: transfer RNA, 76 nt
Filed under: Thermoproteota archaeon
Lineage: Archaea; Thermoproteati; Thermoproteota
Description: tRNA-Phe
Rfam family: tRNA
About the family: Transfer RNA (tRNA) molecules are approximately 80 nucleotides in length. Their secondary structure includes four short double-helical elements and three loops (D, anti-codon, and T loops).
Source: RNAcentral
GGGUGAGUAGCUGAGUUGGUUCAAGCGCCGGGUUGAAGCCCCGGAGACAUAGGUUCGAUUCCUAUCUUACCCACCA